AAAAUGGCGAUGACGGAGACAGUAAUGACGGUGAAAGCCAAAGCGAGCCGGGGGCGGUGGGAGCCCGGUGCAGAAACCGAUCAUGAACAUCCCUCCGUAGCCGGAAUGCGGAAAAUCAGUACGCAUUCCCGGAGCACCCCGUUACGGUGUCCGAGAGGCGGCAUGCGCAAUCACGUGUGCCGCAAUGAGGGUGGUAACGCGGGAAAGCUCCCCGUCCCUUUG
RNAcentral lists this non-coding RNA (222 nucleotides) under Edaphobacillus lindanitolerans. RNAcentral's name for it is "T-box sequence". It matches the Rfam family "T-box leader". From Rfam's summary of the family: Uncharged tRNA acts as the effector for transcription antitermination of genes in the T-box leader family. The record is from RNAcentral. Lineage: Bacteria; Bacillati; Bacillota; Bacilli; Caryophanales; Bacillaceae.